This 368-nucleotide long non-coding RNA is filed under the name Pan troglodytes (chimpanzee). RNAcentral's name for it is "long non-coding RNA NONPTRT012806". Lineage: Eukaryota; Metazoa; Chordata; Mammalia; Primates; Hominidae. The record is from RNAcentral.
CCUGAAAAAGCCCUUCCUAUUGGUAUUAGCUUUGUUAAAGAAUACAUCAGUAGCUCAGACUGGACUUUGGAUACCAUAUACCCUGUUCUUGACCUACUGAGCUAUAUUCGUACUGAAAAAUUACUCUUGCAUACAUGUACUGACCUAAAUGGAAAAAAUGAUGCAGCAGCCUGGGAGACUGGCUAACUCCCUCAGCAAGAAUGCAGAAGACGUUCUUUACUGUGAGUCUACACGGUAUUCCAGGACUCCCUCCACCUGACCAAAGGAGCUAUUUAGGGAUAAAUUACAUGAAGAAACAGCCAGGAAAUACAGAACAGCAAAGCUCGAAAUGAGUUGCUGAUAUUAUGUGGUUACAUUGGUGCAUUACU